Molecule: ribosomal RNA, 1872 nt
Filed under: Phalacrinus sp. DDM0594
Lineage: Eukaryota; Metazoa; Arthropoda; Insecta; Coleoptera; Phalacridae
Description: SSU rRNA
Rfam family: Eukaryotic small subunit ribosomal RNA
Source: RNAcentral
GCCAAAUUAAGGUGAAACCGCGAAAGGCUCAUUAAAUCAGUUAUGGUUCCUUAGAUCGUANNCACAUUACUUGGAUAACUGUGGUAAUUCUAGAGCUAAUACAUGCAAAUAGAGCUCCAACCGGAGACGGAAGGAGCGCUUUUAUUAGAUCAAAACCAAUUGGUGGCUGGUUUCGGCCAGUCAUCGUUAUACUUGGUGACUCUGAAUAACUUUAUGCUGAUCGCACGGUCUCGCACCGGCGACGCAUCUUUCAAAUGUCUGCCUUAUCAACUGUCGAUGGUAGGUUCUGCGCCUACCAUGGUUGUAACGGGUAACGGGGAAUCAGGGUUCGAUUCCGGAGAGGGAGCCUGAGAAACGGCUACCACAUCCAAGGAAGGCAGCAGGCGCGCAAAUUACCCACUCCCGGCACGGGGAGGUAGUGACGAAAAAUAACGAUACGGGACUCAUCCGAGGCCCCGUAAUCGGAAUGAGUACACUCUAAACCCUUUAACGAGGAUCAAUUGGAGGGCAAGUCUGGUGCCAGCAGCCGCGGUAAUUCCAGCUCCAAUAGCGUAUAUUAAAGUUGUUGCGGUUAAAAAGCUCGUAGUCGAAUUUGUGUCUCGCGCCGUUGGUUCAUCGUUCGCGGUGUUAACUGACGUGCCCGCGAGACGUCCUGCCGGUGGACCAAAGCCGACGUACAUGUGUACAAUUCAAAUUGUGCAUGUGUGCUAGGUGAGGUCCAAAUCAAUCCCGCCACGGUGCCUUUAACCGGGUGCCGAGGUAGGCCGGCACGUUUACUUUGAACAAAUUAGAGUGCUUAAAGCAGGCUAAAAUUUUGCCUGAAUACUGUGUGCAUGGAAUAAUGGAAUAGGACCUCGGUUCUAUUUUGUUGGUUUUCGGAACCCCGAGGUAAUGAUUAAUAGGAACGGAUGGGGGCAUUCGUAUUGCGACGUUAGAGGUGAAAUUCUUGGAUCGUCGCAAGACGGACAGAAGCGAAAGCAUUUGCCAAAAACGCUUUCAUUGAUCAAGAACGAAAGUUAGAGGUUCGAAGGCGAUCAGAUACCGCCCUAGUUCUAACCAUAAACGAUGCCAGCUAGCGAUCCGCCGACGUUCCUCCGAUGACUCGGCGGGCAGCUUCCGGGAAACCAAAGCUUUUGGGUUCCGGGGGAAGUAUGGUUGCAAAGCUGAAACUUAAAGGAAUUGACGGAAGGGCACCACCAGGAGUGGAGCCUGCGGCUUAAUUUGACUCAACACGGGAAACCUCACCAGGCCCGGACACCGGAAGGAUUGACAGAUUGAGAGCUCUUUCUUGAUUCGGUGGGUGGUGGUGCAUGGCCGUUCUUAGUUGGUGGAGCGAUUUGUCUGGUUAAUUCCGAUAACGAACGAGACUCUAGCCUGCUAACUAGGCGUAUUUUGACAUCCUAAAGGCCCGCCAGCAUUGGUCAUUCGUGUCCGGUGUUGUGCGCGGUUUUUACUGUCAGCGUAUUAACAUAUCUUCUUAGAGGGACAGGCGGCUUCUAGCCGCACGAGAUUGAGCAAUAACAGGUCUGUGAUGCCCUUAGAUGUUCUGGGCCGCACGCGCGCUACACUGAAGGAAUCAGCGUGUCCUCCCUGGCCGAACGGCCCGGGUAACCCGCUGAACCUCCUUCGUGCUAGGGAUUGGGGCUUGCAAUUGUUCCCCAUGAACGAGGAAUUCCCAGUAAGCGCGAGUCAUAAGCUCGCGUUGAUUACGUCCCUGCCCUUUGUACACACCGCCCGUCGCUACUACCGAUUGAAUGAUUUAGUGAGGUCUUCGGACUGGUACGCGAUGGCGUUUCGGCGUUGUCGAUGUUGCUGGGAAGAUGACCAAACUUGAUCAUUUAGAGGAAGUAAAAGUCGUAACAAGGUUUCCGU